Molecule: ribosomal RNA, 497 nt
Filed under: uncultured bacterium
Lineage: Bacteria
Description: partial 16S ribosomal RNA
Rfam family: Bacterial small subunit ribosomal RNA
Source: RNAcentral
GAUGAACGCUGGCGGCGUGCCUAAUACAUGCAAGUCGAGCGAACAGACGAGGAGCUUGCUCCUCUGACGUUAGCGGCGGACGGGUGAGUAACACGUGGAUAACCUACCUAUAAGACUGGGAUAACUUCGGGAAACCGGAGCUAAUACCGGAUAACAUGUUGAACCGCAUGGUUCAACAGUGAAAGACGGUUUUGCUGUCACUUAUAGAUGGAUCCGCGCCGCAUUAGCUAGUUGGGAAGGUAACGGCUUACCAAGGCAACGAUGCGUAGCCGACCUGAGAGGCUGAUCGGCCACACUGCAACUGAGAUACGGUCCAGACUCCUACGGGCGGCAGCAGUCGGGAACCUUCCGCAAUGGUCGAAAGCCUGACGGAGCAACGCCGCGUGAGCGAAGAAGGUCUUCGGAUCGUAAAACUCUGUUAUUAGGGACGAACAAAUGUGUAAGUAACUAUGCACGUCUUGACGGUACCUAAUCAGAAAGCCACGGCUAACUACGUG